RNAcentral lists this long non-coding RNA (1591 nucleotides) under Vitis vinifera (wine grape). RNAcentral's name for it is "long non-coding RNA (VVIN_LNC004263)". The record is from RNAcentral. Lineage: Eukaryota; Viridiplantae; Streptophyta; Magnoliopsida; Vitales; Vitaceae.
AGAAAGAGAGAAGUGGCAGAAAAAAGGUCUUGACGGCUACAGGGGAGAAAAAAUUUCACCAUUCUUCGAUUGGCCGCUUGGGUAGCCAAACAAGCUCUGUUUUGCAUGAAAUUUUGAGAAAGAAUUCUACUCGACGCAAGGAACGUUUCUACAGUAGUUGAUUUUAUUUUUAAUGGUCUGAUUUGUAGAUAUGUGGUAAGGAAACUUAACCCUAAAACUUUAAUUAAAUGUUUUUUUCUUGAAAAAAAAAUUAUACAUCUUGUUGUUAGGAGUUAAAUAGGUAAUAUUUGUAAUAUGAGAAAUUUUAUUGGAUAACUUUGGAAUAUUUUUGGAAUUUUGGUGAUGAUGGAAAAAAAAAAUUGGUUAAUAAAUGAUUGCAUUUGGGUUGUUAAAAUUAAUGGGAUUGUUGAGAAUAAUUGAAAUUGUAGUAUAAAUUAUAUUUUAUUGAUAUGUGGAUUUUUUAGAAUUUAUUGGAAUGUUUUUAGCAAUUUUAUUGUGGAAAAAUAAUUAUAUUAGAUUAUUGAAAUUAUUGGAGUUGUUGGAAAAUUAUGGAUUUUUGGUAUCGAUUAUGUUUAAUUGAGAUUUGAAUUAUUGGAAAUUUGUUUGGUUGCUUUUGGUAAUUUUAUUGUGGAGCAAUAAUUAUAUUUGAUUAUUGGAAUUAUUGGGGUUAUUGGAAAAUUAUGGAAUUGUGGUAUGAUUGUAAUUUCAAUGAUAUUUAGACUAGUUGAAAAUUUAUGUGAUAUUGGUGAUACUUUUGAAUGAGAGUAAUUAACCUCAUGGCAUUUCAUUUGCAUCAUGGUUGUGUGAAGGAAUGAUAAAAAUUGUGAAAAAUGCAUUAAAUGAAAAAUAAAUAAAUAAAUAAAAUAGUAAUGAAAAGUAAAGGUUCAUGUGAGGCGAAUCAAGAAGGGAGUGAGAUUCCUAGGGUGAAAUACCCAAAAGUUUACCCCGGGAAGACUCCGAAUGAGGAGUGUAUUUGGGUACGUCCUAUCCUUUGAUGAAAGCCCGAGAACGACAGUGCAUUGUAUGACUAUGUGUCACAUGUCCAUGUGUAUUUUAUUUAAUUGUUGAAAAUUGUGGAAUUAUUAUAAUUAUAAAGAUUAAAAAUGUGGGUGAUCAAUGCUGAUGGAAUGUUUCUUUUGUGUUCAUUUGAAAUUUAGUAAUCCACAUUAACCCCUUGGGUGUUAAGCACCCUACUGAACAAUGUGGAAUGCUCGCCCCUUCCUUUUUACAUUUUUUUAUAUGCAGAUGUCACUCCUGAGGAUCCACAAGUGGGGUAGGGAGGACUUCAGAAUGCCCUAUGAGGUUUUGGAGCGGCCUAGUGGAGUGUAGUGUAUUUGUUAUGUUGGCUAUUUUGGGACUUGUAUUGACAAACUUUGAAACUAUAUAUUUGAAAUGAGACUUUAUUCAUAUUAAUUUGCUCAACUGUGAACUCUUAUUUCUAGACUUUAAUAAUAAUUAUUAUAUCUGGUUGCUCUUGAGUAGUGGUUAGUAUGUUGAUAAAUUGGAUUGUUAGUUGGAGGAAGCUCUAGUGUGAUUGAGUAGAAAAAUAAAAUUCAGAGUGUUUUGGUUGACUGCCAACGUGGAUUAGGAG